Zingiber officinale is the source of this 657-nucleotide long non-coding RNA. RefSeq lists it as uncharacterized. The transcript is spliced from 6 exons. The record is from RefSeq and is a predicted model, not a curated record. NCBI's taxonomy places the organism in Eukaryota, Viridiplantae, Streptophyta, Magnoliopsida, Zingiberales, Zingiberaceae.
GGAUCCUUUUUUUUUAAAAAGGUUGGCUAUGUAGGGAUGAUUGAAUUACCACAAAAAGAAGCUUGGAUAAAUGUCCUAUCCUUUCUGAGUUGGCUAUGAAUAUCAUAAGCAUAAAUCAUUUGGAAAGCAUUGAGAUCAAUGGAGAAGAAACUUUUGAGAAUGCCUCAAUUAGGCUGCAAAUUGUGGUAUUGAUUCCAGUGGACCAUGGAGCUGUCUUCAUGAUGCUAUUGGAGCUUUUAGUUGUGACAGGUUAUCUGGGAACCAAUUCUUGUUCAACUUGACACUUGAUGUAAAAUUCAUUUCUGAUCUGGACCAAGCCUUGAUUGGAACUUCCUUUCUUUUGCUGCAUGCUUUCGAGAACAUGUUCAAAUGCCAAUGUGGGAGAUUGGUAUCAUCAUCUCUUCAUCCUUCAGUACCAUUUCCACCUCUUCCUUCCCAGCCCAUGAGAAAAUACUCGUUUGAGUUGGUGAUGAACUCUUACCUCGUGAAAAAGCCUUGUGUGGGGAUGCAGUGUGGUAAGGUCUCCAUGUGUACAAUGGAAAAAAGUCUUUAAGCUUAAUGACAGAAUUUUCUUCUGGUCAAUGCAGUACUUGCUAAAUGGAAACCGCAGGUUAUCACGAAUACAAGAGGAUUAAGAAAUUGGCUUUUUGAAAAGCU